RNAcentral lists this long non-coding RNA (232 nucleotides) under Capsicum annuum. Its description in RNAcentral is "long non-coding RNA (CANN_LNC003061)". Lineage: Eukaryota; Viridiplantae; Streptophyta; Magnoliopsida; Solanales; Solanaceae. The record is from RNAcentral.
GGGGCGCGCGGAGGUAGUAAUAGGGGAGUGCUCCUUUGGGUCUGGAGUUUCUGGUUCGUAGUGUUGUAGCUGUAGUUUGGGGCUAGUGGUGUUGGCUUUUUUGCAUCCCGUACUAGUUUAUUAUACAAUUAUUUUUGUGUUUGUUAUACUGUUAGUUUGUUUUGUGUACCAUACUAGUUUAUAUGCGCUUACUUUUUAUAUUUAUUAUACUGUUAUUGAUCCUAAGCUGGGG